CUCCAUCCCCGCCUCUUAUCCCUUCCCUUCCCUCCUCAGACCCCGGAGUGACGCGACGGAUGGGUGCUGGGCCUGGGGGGAUGGAGGUUCUGCUUUCCCAGGCCCGCCCCAGGAGGAGACGGCCACCUUCUCUAGGUCUGCAGACUGUGCUGAGACCCCCACCCUCUUGUCUCCCUGGCCAUGUACUUCUCUGUCCCAGAGACCCUCCCCCCGACACAGGCACAGACACUCACCUGAGGCCAUACUGCCGGAACCCGGAGGGGCGGGAGACGGACCUCGACGGACCUCUGCCGCUGAACUAGCCUCGAAGACCCCAGGGAGUCCCGACUUCCAGCUGUCUGCUCAGGAGGCGAGCAGGCCACGUGCUCCCCAGAGAGCAGGACCCGGAACUCGUCUGUGCUUCUCUCAACACUCUCUGGGUGUUCAGGAUCGGACUAUCGUAGCUGGACUGUGGUGGAGUCACGCAACAGGUGCGACCCCACCGAAGCCUAGCCAGCGCCUCAGGGCGUCUCAGCAGCCCCAGGCCCCGCUGUGCCCGAGGCCCCGCCCCCUCCGGGCAGGCCCCGCCCCCGCCGUGUUCCUCUUCCCCUCGCCACGUGGGCAGCCGCCACUCCGCAGUUAGCCAGGCGGGUCUUGGGCAAGCGUUGUGCGUCAGCUUCCUCAUCAGUGAAAUGGGGCGGUGUAAUUGCACUCAAGGGAGUUGUUCUGAGCAUGAAACGUUAAGCACCUUUGCACGAUGCCUGGCACAAAGUCGAUGGCCCAUAAAAGAUAACUAGUAUUGUCUCAGGACUCAUUCAUUUUGUUUUUUAAGAUUUUAUUUUUAAGUAAUCUCUACACCAAAGGUAGGGCUCGAACUCACAACCCCAAGAUCAAGAGCCACAAGCUCCACCAACUGAGCCAGCCAGGCACCCCCAUUCAUUCACUUUUAGAAGUCAUUCCUGGGCAUUCUCAUUCCGGGUCCUCUGCUUUCUUCUGGCAGGCAUAGAUAAACAGGGUGUGUCCUGCAAUCCAGGCUCUCCUUCCUACAUUUACUUACGUAUUUAUUGGUUAAAAGCUUAGGCUCUGUAGCCAGAAUGCCUGGGUUCAAUUCCAGACUCUUCCACCUACUUUGUGAUUGACGGGGAAGUUACUGGACUCUCUGUGCUCCUAUUUCCUCUGGAAAAUGACUGUAAGAGACCCUGCUUUGUAUAGUGGUCGUUAGGAUAAAUGAGUUAAUAUAAAUUAAGUGCUUAGAGCAGUGCCUGGCCUGUAGUUACUACUCAGUUAUUGUCUGCAUCUUAUCAUUGCUAUGUCCUUGUCCUUGGUUCCCUGUUGACAACCUCAUAUGGUGAUGAUUCUCUUGGCGGCCUAGAAAGAAGUGGAGUUGGGAUGUUUGGAGAACUGCAGACACCCCACCCAGCCAGCACCCCCACUCCCAAGUAACACAGAAUCCUACCUAAAGGGAAUGGGGGGGAAGGGGGGGGAGCUAAGACUUCACUAAACAUAAUCAAGUGUAUUAGCAGUAAUUAAUCUUUUCCCUAUUUCUCCACCUGUGGGAGCCCUUUGUUCCCCACACCCAGUUGUAUUAAUGCUGUUUGUCCAGCUCCUCCCAGUUCUCCCCUACAGCCAAAUUCCUUCCCAAACUCUGCCUCCCCCACCUCUCCCCAAGCUGGAUUCUGGACCCUGGACCCUACUAUCUGUGUGUAUCUGGUGUCACAUCUAUUGAUCUCUGCCUGCUGCUCCUCCUUACCCUGGGCAAACUCAAAAAACUAUGGCCUCCAUAAACAUGGCGGUGGGGGAAUUCACCUCACAAAGAAGCAAUCAAACCAAUAAAACAAAGGAAAUAACGAUGUUUACCCAUCAACUUAGCAAAGAUUAAGGGGAAAAAAUCCUAAUACACGCAAGGGUGUAGUGAGAUGGGACACACAUACACUACUGGACACGAACAUCAACAUAAUCUUUCUGAAAGCCAUUUGGUAAUACAUAAUCAAGAGUCUUUCCAAAGUUCCUAUUAUUUAACCUAGUAAUUCCACUUUCAGGAAAUUGUUCUUCUAAAGAGCUGCCAGAAAAAUAUGCACGAAUUUGUUCAUCACUGCAAUGUUUAUCAUAUAGAAAGGCUGGAAACAUAAAGGUCCAACAAUAGGGAAAUGUUUAAAUUUUGUCAUAUGCAUGCAAUGAAAUACAACAAUUAAAAAUUGUUCUUGGAGAAUUUCUUAAUGAGGUGGAAAUGUUUACAAUGUAAAGCUUGGUUUCAAAAAAA
This is a long non-coding RNA of Lynx canadensis (Canada lynx), 2239 nucleotides long. RefSeq lists it as uncharacterized. The transcript is spliced from 3 exons. Lineage: Eukaryota; Metazoa; Chordata; Mammalia; Carnivora; Felidae. The record is from RefSeq and is a predicted model, not a curated record.